This 484-nucleotide ribosomal RNA is filed under the name uncultured bacterium. Its description in RNAcentral is "partial 16S ribosomal RNA". It matches the Rfam family "Bacterial small subunit ribosomal RNA", at positions 30 to 507 of the family's 1533-position model. The record is from RNAcentral.
AGUGAACGCUGGCGGCAGGCCUAACACAUGCAAGUCGAGCGGCAGCGGGUCCUUCGGGAUGCCGGCGAGCGGCGGACGGGUGAGGAAUGCAUCGGAAUCUGCCCUGUCGUGGGGGAUAACCUAGGGAAACUUAGGCUAAUACCGCAUACGACCCACGGGUGAAAGCGGGGGAUCGCAAGACCUCGCGCGAUAGGAUGAGCCGAUGUCCGAUUAGCUAGUUGGCGGGGUAAAGGCCCACCAAGGCGACGAUCGGUAGCUGGUCUGAGAGGAUGAUCAGCCACACUGGGACUGAGACACGGCCCAGACUCCUACGGGAGGCAGCAGUGGGGAAUAUUGGACAAUGGGCGCAAGCCUGAUCCAGCCAUGCCGCGUGGGUGAAGAAGGCCUUCGGGUUGUAAAGCCCUUUUGUCCGGGAAGAAAUCGUCUGGGCUAAUACCCCGGGCGGAUGACGGUACCGGAAGAAUAAGCACCGGCUAACUUCGCG